This 253-nucleotide ribosomal RNA is filed under the name uncultured bacterium. RNAcentral's name for it is "partial 16S ribosomal RNA". It matches the Rfam family "Bacterial small subunit ribosomal RNA", at positions 524 to 776 of the family's 1533-position model. The record is from RNAcentral.
UACGUAGGGUGCGAGCGUUAAUCGGAAUUACUGGGCGUAAAGCGCGUGUAGGCGGGUUUCCAAGUCAGAUGUGAAAUCCCUGGGCUCAACCCAGGAACUGCAUUUGAAACUGGGAGUCUUGAGUAUCGGAGAGGAAAGCGGAAUUCCUGGUGUAGAGGUGAAAUUCGUAGAUAUCAGGAGGAACACCGGUGGCGAAGGCGGCUUUCUGGACGAUAACUGACGCUGAGACGCGAAAGCGUGGGGAGCAAACAGG